Long non-coding RNA from Daphnia pulicaria, 662 nucleotides. RefSeq lists it as uncharacterized. Lineage: Eukaryota; Metazoa; Arthropoda; Branchiopoda; Diplostraca; Daphniidae. The transcript is spliced from 3 exons. The record is from RefSeq and is a predicted model, not a curated record.
CAGAGCUGUGUCACCCAGUUGCGCUCAACGUAGUCCCAGUCCCAGUCGCUCAUCUCUACAUAGCAGAACCAGCAAGGUCAGUGGCAGAAGCGUCUGGCAUCAACAAUUAUCUCUCAAGUAUUAGUUGGACAAGGCUAUAUUAUGCAACGGCCUCGCAGCCCAGUAUUACGCGGGCCUUUCGGAUGCGGUGGCAGGAAUUUCUCGUACAACGCUUCCGCCACUAUAGCAUCAGCCUUUACAGUUACACCGCCACGCCCGUGCCAGCGCUGAAUGGAAUGAUUUCAAUUCAAACGCAAAUAACGGUGAGCUGAACCAGGAUCACUAGGAACUGGCUCCCUGCCUGGUGGUCUGAUGUUCUGGGUGCGGAGGCCUUGCAAGAAGCCUCUUCCUCCACUUUUUCCCAAAUGAAUUUUCAAGGAUCCGGCGCGACUAAUAUGGAUUCGGAUUUUUCACUGAGAUGCUCGGACACGGGCGACAGCUAUUACCCACUGUCUGAUUUGAGCGAUUCCGUGACACUAGCAGGAUUGAUUGUGGGACCCGAUGACUUGGCAGCCACUCUGGUACGCAUUCAAAGAAGCGCCCGAGUUGAAUCGACUGGUCCAGGAUGUGGUUGAAGGACAACAGUCUGUCGUCGUUCCCCAAGGAUUUUGAAUCAACAACAC